Ipomoea nil (Japanese morning glory) is the source of this 420-nucleotide long non-coding RNA. RefSeq lists it as uncharacterized. The transcript has 3 exons. NCBI's taxonomy places the organism in Eukaryota, Viridiplantae, Streptophyta, Magnoliopsida, Solanales, Convolvulaceae. The record is from RefSeq and is a predicted model, not a curated record.
GGCGUAAGAAGAGUGAGGAGGCAGUAGGUUUUGCUUUUGUGCUCAAAAACAAAGUAAAAAAAGGGGACAAGGUGACCGUGAAGGUUAGUGCAUAAAGGAAUUUCUAUGCUUAAAGCUUACUAAGAUUAGAGUGUUGAUCGAGGUUAAGACAAGGGAGGUCACAUUUUGGGGUUAAAGACCAUGGGGUAUUAGUCUAGUGUUUUGUGAUAGAGGAGGACUACUUCUAGUCUUUUUGUGGAGAUCAAAGUCCAUAGUAGGACCUUGGAUUUCAAGUUGUAAUUUUGGACCAUGUCUAGAAGCUUAAAUGUGUAUAUUAUAAUUCCAAUUAAGCUAUCUUCGGGGAAGGAACUUUAAGACCAAGAGGUUGUUUAGGUUAUCUUGUGAUUGAUAUUUUGUUUAGCAGGCUUCGUAUUAUAACGA